CACGGAUUAUCAACUCGACGACCGCACUGCUUAAAGCACGAGGUCAGAUACAUCGGGGAAAACUCAAGAGUGCGGAACUAAAGAGGGGAAAUCUUUGAAGAACAAUGUGAGAGCUCAAAAAGUGUACAUUAUAUUGUCCUGCAUGACAUGAAGUUGGCUAUAAAACACUAAAGAACAAAACAGCCAUAAAGAUAGUGUUGCUGUAUGAAGAGUUCCUGGUCUGUGUAAUGUCACCAUCAACUGAACAUACAAAACCCUCUGCCAGUCUAACGUGGACUGCCAUGUGAAAAGAUGCCUUCCAAGUUACCAUCCUCAGUGAGCUGUCUGCCAUUCUCUGUCUCCUGCAGUGAUAGCAGACAUGCUCUCUCUGGCUUUACUCAGGAGCUAAUGAAUCUUGAACAGCUUCCUUUUCUCACCUCCACAGUCUUAAUCUUUUAUCCUGUUCAAGAGUUAUACAUUUGUCUAUUGACAGUGUUUUCAUUUUAUUCAAUGUAUGGUAAUUGAUUGUAUUCAUCAUACUACAUCUAUUAUAAUGAGGGUGCGUAUUCUUAGUGUCCUUUUAGAGUCUCAGAGAAUUCGAUUUAAAUAUGUUUAGGUAAUUUUGAAGGUGUGGGCGUAAAGAGGAGUUAUGAGUUGUAGAAAUGCACAUAAGAGAUGGGAACAAAGAGGGUGUACAGAAGGAUGUUAUGUGGAGAGAUCCCCCAAGGGUGUAUAGAUACAUAUGAUGUUGCUUGAAAUUUAGUUGUAGUCUUGUCUCUGCUUAUAAUGAGAAGAGAAACAAAAUAAAAACUUUAGGACUGGUAGACUUGUGCCAGCAGUAUUAUGAGAAUAGGCUACUAUCAGUAUCAUGUGUGAAGGUUGUUGGGAAAUGUUGAUAGGAAUUAUAAUUUGAUUUAAAAUUGCAGAUAUUAAAUACACCUUGUGUUAAGGGAAAUGCGACUAUUUUUGGUAAAGAGUCUGUUGUUGCAACAGGAAAUGUGGUGAAAAAUCAUCUUAGAAUUAUAACACUUACAAGAACUUGUGGCUUUUAAUACAAAAUAUCAGAAGCCAUGCUGGUCCGCAGAACAACCAACUUCCCUGAGCACUGGCUCUGCUUUUAUACACAUACAGCAUAUGAGUCCAUCCUACAUGCAAAUGAAGUUACUUCCCCCAGUCCAUCUGCCACCAUUAUCUUUUAGUUUAAGCUUCCUGUUUGUUCAUGCCCAUAUCUGCUUUCGGUUAGGUAAUAAUGGUGGCGGGACCCUUUCAUGUCCUAAAAAUAAUAUAUGUCCAGCUGUCCUAUGGGCCUAUGUCUUUGGCCUUUGUACUUAUGUUUAGCUUGGUGUGCUCUUUGGUAUGUUGCCCUUAUUAGGACUAGUAGAUUGUGUGUCCCUCUGACAUUGGUAUGUCCAGCUUAUCCUAAGCACUUAUGGCCUUGGCCAUUAUACUUAUGUUUGUUCCGCUCCAUCUAAUCUUUGGUAUGCUGCCCUUUCCAGAAUAGCAAAUACACUUAAGUGUCGCCUUCUCCUCCUGUGGUCUGAUGUACACAUGUCCUUGCUACUUUUAGUAUUACAUCUGUCCCUAUAUGAAACAUUAACUCCCACAGAAAUCACACUUACCUUUCUCUCUCCCUCAUGAUGAAAAAGCUCUCGGAGCUAAGGAAAAAUCCCUAGAAACGACUCAAAAACUAUCAAUAAGGUAACCUUUAAAAGUUAUUUUUAUACAAAAAUAGAAAAGUAAAACAGUCCAAUUUAAACAGUAAUACAAAAUCUAAAAACUACUUUAAAAUAAAAAGGCUCAAAAGCAUUAUAGCUAAACAGGGUUUCCCAACUAGCGGCCCGCGGGUGGCUUUAUUUAAAAACAUAUAUAUAUUUUUUUAAACAAUUAUUAUUGUUGGGCAUAAUAGACUGUAAAACACCAGAAAAAAGUUGAUUGUUUAUUAUUGUUUGAACUGUAUCGAUUUUAUAUAGGACUAUUGAAAUUUGUCCAAGAAGAAAUUUGGACAUUUUAAGUCCUUUUUUUGUUUUCCAUUUAUACACACAUCUUCGUGCCCUACUCACUCCUCCACUGGGAUGGAAUACAGAUGAUUGCAAAUCCUUUAAUGUUGAUGACUGGGUUCUUUGUUGUCAGACGUUUCUUUUGAAGUUGCCACGGAGUUGCUCGUCAUUAUUAUUGUAUGAGGUAUUAUUGAUUGGUUUUCCCGUGCUGUGACUUUUAUUCAUAUGUUGUGUGUUAAAACUUAAGGAUAGCCCCCUUUUUUCAAUUUUCGCCUAAAAUGACAUGUCCAAAACUAACUGCCUGUAGCUCAGGCCCUGAAGCAAGGAUAUGCAUAUUCUUGGUAUCAUUUGAAAGGAAGCACUUUGAAGUUUGUGGAAAUGUGAAUUGAAUGUAGGAGAAUAUAACACAAUAGAUCUGGUAGAAGAAAAUACAAAGAAAAAGUAUUGAGAUAAACUUUUGUUAUUGACUAAAUACUUAUUUUCACCAUAAUUUGCUAAUAAAUUCAUGAAAAAUC
Salvelinus fontinalis (brook trout) is the source of this 2491-nucleotide long non-coding RNA. RefSeq lists it as uncharacterized. The record is from RefSeq and is a predicted model, not a curated record. The transcript is spliced from 2 exons. NCBI's taxonomy places the organism in Eukaryota, Metazoa, Chordata, Actinopteri, Salmoniformes, Salmonidae.